RNAcentral lists this long non-coding RNA (2993 nucleotides) under Lynx pardinus (Iberian lynx). Lineage: Eukaryota; Metazoa; Chordata; Mammalia; Carnivora; Felidae. The record is from RNAcentral.
GUAGCUGCAGGUGCGGAGCUGCCGGCCGGGCGGCAGCGGCCAGCCGCGAGCAUGAGGAGCUGGUGUCUGUGUCAGAUCUGCACCUGCGGGUAAGGAACGCGCAGCGUGGCGGCGGGCGGGGCGCGGGUGGCCGGAGCCCCUUGGUGGCCGCCCCCCGGAGAUGAUGGGACGUGGAAGCGGCGACCGCACUCCCCGGGUCCGCACCAGCCGGCUCCCGGGUGAAACAGUUCUGCUCUUAGACUCCCUGGCCAGGUGCACACUGAACGCCGGCCGGCUGGGCGGAGGACGCUUGCGCGGGAGCGGCGGGUCCAGAGCCUGCUAAGGGGUGCGAUCAGAUCCCGCUGGGAGAGUGCAUGCCCCCAAAAUCUUAGGGGGAAGGAAGGAAUAGGAAUAGGACGAUCUGCAAGUCCAUGAACUCUCAGCCCGCGCCACGCUUUCUUCCAUCUCCAGCUUUCCAUCCAAGCCUGGCUGUAGCCCCAUUCCCCUCCAAGCAGUGCCCCUUGGGGAUCUGACCGACCGAGAUGGGAGCAGUCUCCACCCUGAAACCCAGAAUUGGUCUGUGGGUCCCUGCGUGACAACCUCCCAUUGCCUGUAAACACAGUCUUCUUCCGCGGAGUCACUCUUGGCCCCACGGAUUCGAUCACUGUUUGCUAAAGAAACAUUAUGAGCAUGUGGAUUCCACGGAAUCCAUGAGUGACCAUGUAACAGGAAGUGAGUGGAGCGGUAUAAAUUAAAUCUUUCUGUGUUGGGAUUUGAAAGUUAGUAAAUCUAAGCGGAUAAAUCAAGAUGUUAAAAGCUCAUUAAAAAAAAAAGAAAGAAAGAAAAGAAAAAAUGAAAACGCAGAUGUAGCCUCCAGAAAAACUAAAAAGCAGAGAUGAUCGUCAGAAAGUAGUUUCUAGAGACUGGAAACGUUGGGAGAACGGGCUUUUCCGGUUUCCUUUAUAAGCUUUUCAGCUUGUUUUGUUACAAUGUGAAUGUAUGCCUUGCAUGAGAAAUAAAACUAAGAAUAAUGAGAAACUCCAGAGCUUGGACUUGAUUCUUGUAACUCAGUGCACCUGUAUCAGAACCUCCAUGCAUGACCUAUGUUCCCCGUCCCUGAUUGUUCCAAGAGACCAUCUGUGAUCCUAAAUCACUUUAGGACUUUCCCGAAGCCUCCACUGUCAGCCAGUAAUCUCGAAUCUCUCCACUCCUCUGACUUUGAAUUUUGAAUAGCCCAUGACACCACCUCUCCACCCUUCCGCACACUGCAAUCCUUCCUGCUGUCCAGCAACCUCCAUGCAAAACAGCUGAUCUCUCUUAUGUUCUUCCCCGGGGGUUCACGGAGUCUAGAUAUCCUCGCCGGUUCUGACUCAUCUACAGAGUGUAUGUGUUUUCUUCAACCUUACCUGGGCUUGGAUUAGUAGUCCUCACACAUAGCCUGGAGCCCCAAAUGAUAUGAGACCCGAGGAGCUGAUUUUUCCUUUUUGUUUGCUUGGAUUUUUAUGUUUGUUUUGUUAAGAACUUUAUCUUUUUUUUUCUGAUUAUGAAAUGAAUAUACAUGAGGCAUUGUAUGAACAUGCAAGGCAAAAAAUCUAGAAUAUAGUGAAAAUCCCUCAUCAUCCUAGUCCUAGAAAUAAUAAAUGUUCUUUAAGACUUGUUUUUGCAUUCUUUAGAAGGAAAGAGAAAUAGAGUGUAUUAUACAUACUGUUCCGCAACCCACUUUUUCACUGUUUACAGUCUCCGCGUCUGGCAACGGCCACGCCUUAAGAUCAACCCUAUUCUCUUUAACAACUACCUGCUAUUAGCUUAUAUGAUAUAUUGGCCAGGGCUAUUAGUCAUGGACAAUCUAAUCUACUCUUGCCUAGUCGAGGCAUAAAAGAAUUUAUUAAGGAGUAUAUGCAGCUCACAGAAUUGUUGGAAGAACGGAAGAAACAGUUUUCAAAAUAAGCUUUUCAGGAAAAAUUCCCAAAAACUCUCACCUCAGAACUGGGCUGCCAAGGGAGCCACUGCCCCUGCCAAUACCCAGGAAACAGCAACAGAGCAGCGGGCUUCAAAACCACUCCUUCCUGCCGAACCACCCUUUCCUGCUGAAGCUGCCAGACAGGAAGCCACCUUGCAAACCAGAAGGCUGCCUGACGCCUGCCUCCUCCAGCCUCUCUGUGCCUCUACCACAACCCUGCAACCUCUCUCCCUGGGUAGCGCUCUCUGAGAGCAUCAGCUGAGCACACCCCACAGUUGAAAGCUAAAUUGUACAUGGGGCCUGCCUGCCAAGAGCCUGAGAAAUGUUAGCUUUUCAGCUUCUUAGUAUAAGAAGACACCCCAGGGGCACCUGGGUGGCUCGGUCAGUUAAGCGUCUGACUUCACUUCAGGUCAUGAUCUCACCGUUGGUGAGUUCAAGCCCCGCGUCCGGCUCUCCACUGACAGCUCUGAGCCCAGAGCCUGCUUCAGAUAUAGCGUCUCCCUCUCUCUCUGCCCCUCUCCUGCUCGUGCUCUGUCUCUCGAAAAUAAGUAAACAUUAACAAAGUAAAAUAAAAAAGACACUCUAAAUCAUUGUCAGAGGAAAUACCAUAAUUUUUUCCACCAUGAAGGAUAUACCAUAAUUUAUUCAUUAUUUUUGUAAACACCAUUGCAGAAUAAACAGGUUUUUUGUGUGUUCGUGUGUAUUAGUAAAGCUUCUUUUAAAUUUAGAGAUUGUGUGUUUAUCGAAGUUCUCUGGUUAAGAUGCAGUUAUAUAAAAUAUUUUUGAAAGCCAAAAUAAUCUUUCAGUUUAUUUAUGUUUGCACAGGAGGCAUCAUUGUCCACACGGAACCACAAGGAUUUAUGAAAAUUCUGGCACAUCCUGCCCCACAACUGAAUAUUUGGAAAAAUAUCCUACAUAUGGCAAUGUUCCUCCACCUCAGAGUCUGAAGCCCAAGCAAGAAUUUCGAGCAUGCCGUGGUAAAAUGGAAGGAAUAACGACAUUUAAGUAAAUAUUCAGAAACUAUUUGCUCUACUUUUCUCCAACUCUUCUGGGC